UGCCUGAAUGCAGGUUGUCACACCAAUGCAAUGUCGGCCAUGAGUUUGGCGUGUUCUUGCAUUUUCACAAAUUUAAAUAUAAAUUAUUAGCUUUUCUUUCUUAUCUGAACCAUUAUGCCGAGUACAUUGCCGCCGAAGGAGAAUACUCUCUUUAAAAGAGUGUUGGUAAGUCUUUAUAUGUUCUUACUCAGUGUGCAAAUAUGCAUUUUGGUCGCAGGAAGUCUGUACUAUUCACACUCAAUGUUGUGCUGAUGUUUUAUACUUGAUUUCUUGCAGAAAUGUUACGAACAAAAGCAGUAUAAGAACGGCUUGAAAUUUGCAAAGCAAAUUUUAUCAAAUCCAAAAUAUUCAGAGCAUGGAG
Paramuricea clavata is the source of this 361-nucleotide non-coding RNA. The record is from the annotation of a GenBank genome assembly. NCBI's taxonomy places the organism in Eukaryota, Metazoa, Cnidaria, Anthozoa, Malacalcyonacea, Plexauridae.